Podarcis lilfordi (Lilford's wall lizard) is the source of this 71-nucleotide non-coding RNA. The record is from the annotation of a GenBank genome assembly. Lineage: Eukaryota; Metazoa; Chordata; Lepidosauria; Squamata; Lacertidae.
GGGCUGUAGCUCAGCGGGAGAGUGUCUGCCUUGCAUGCAGAAGGACCCAGGUUCAUUCCCUGGCAACAUCU